AGUAUUAUGUUCCGCUAAACCAGACAUCUGUAUGGUGCAUCAUGCAGCAUGCGAUAUGCACCGCCCGCCCUCCCACUGCUA
This is a long non-coding RNA of Maniola jurtina (meadow brown), 81 nucleotides long. RefSeq lists it as uncharacterized. The transcript has 3 exons. The record is from RefSeq and is a predicted model, not a curated record. NCBI's taxonomy places the organism in Eukaryota, Metazoa, Arthropoda, Insecta, Lepidoptera, Nymphalidae.